Molecule: non-coding RNA, 29 nt
Filed under: Rattus norvegicus (Norway rat)
Lineage: Eukaryota; Metazoa; Chordata; Mammalia; Rodentia; Muridae
Source: RNAcentral
UGAUAGUGAUAAUUGUGGAUGUGUGCAAC